GAUGAACGCUGGCGGUGUGCCUAAUACAUGCAAGUCGAGCGAACAGACGAGGAGCUUACUCCUCUGACGUUAGCGGCGGACGGGUGAGUAACACGUGGAUAACCUACCUAUAAGACUGGGAUAACUUCGGGAAACCGGAGCUAAUACCGGAUAACAUGUUGAACCGCAUGGUUCAACAGUGAAAGACGGUCUUGCUGUCACUUAUAGAUGAGUCCGCGUCGCAUUAGCUAGUUGGUAAGGUAACGGCUUACCAAGGCAACGAUGCGUAGCCGACCUGAGAGGGUGAUCGGCCACACUGGAACUGAGACACGGUCCAGACUCCUACGGGAGGCAGCAGUAGGGAAUCUUCCGCAAUGGGCGAAAGCCUGACGGAGCAACGCCGCGUGAGUGAAGAAGGUCUUCGGAUCGUAAAACUCUGUUAUUAGGGAAGAACAAAUGUGUAAGUAACUAUGCACGUCUUGACGGUACCUAAUCAGAAAGCCACGGCUAACUACGUG
Molecule: ribosomal RNA, 497 nt
Filed under: uncultured bacterium
Lineage: Bacteria
Description: partial 16S ribosomal RNA
Rfam family: Bacterial small subunit ribosomal RNA
Source: RNAcentral